RNAcentral lists this ribosomal RNA (468 nucleotides) under uncultured bacterium. RNAcentral describes it as "partial 16S ribosomal RNA". It matches the Rfam family "Bacterial small subunit ribosomal RNA", at positions 28 to 507 of the family's 1533-position model. The record is from RNAcentral.
GACGAACGCUGGCGGCGUGCUUAACACAUGCAAGUCGAACGGAAAGGCCCUGCUUUUGUGGGGUGCUCGAGUGGCGAACGGGUGAGUAACACGUGAGUAACCUGCCCUUGACUUUGGGAUAACUUCAGGAAACUGGGGCUCAUACCGGAUAGGAGCUCCUGCUGCAUGGUGGGGGUUGGAAAGUUUCGGCGGUUGGGGAUGGACUCGCGGCUUACCAGCUUGUUGGUGGGGUAGUGGCUUACCAAGGCUUUGACGGGUAGCCGGCCUGAGAGGGUGACCGGCCACAUUGGGACUGAGAUACGGCCCAGACUCCUACGGGAGGCAGCAGUGGGGAAUAUUGCACAAUGGGCGGAAGCCUGAUGCAGCAACGCCGCGUGCGGGAUGACGGCCUUCGGGUUGUAAACCGCUUUCGCCUGUGACGAAGCGUGAGUGACGGUAAUGGGUAAAGAAGCACCGGCUAACUACGUG